Molecule: transfer RNA, 77 nt
Filed under: Actinomycetes bacterium
Lineage: Bacteria; Bacillati; Actinomycetota; Actinomycetes
Also listed under: 4 other names
Description: tRNA-Thr
Rfam family: tRNA
About the family: Transfer RNA (tRNA) molecules are approximately 80 nucleotides in length. Their secondary structure includes four short double-helical elements and three loops (D, anti-codon, and T loops).
Source: RNAcentral
GCUGGCGUAGCUCAGUUGGCCAGAGCAGCCGCCUUGUAAGCGGCAGGUCAUGGGUUCGAGUCCCAUCGCCAGCUCCA